UACGUAGGGUGCAAGCGUUGUCCGGAAUUAUUGGGCGUAAAGGGCGCGUAGGCGGCUUGGCAAGUGGAUGGUGAAAUCCCUCGGCUUAACCGAGGAACUGCCAUCCAGACUGCUUUGCUUGAGGCCGGGAGAGGUGAGUGGAAUUCCCAGUGUAGCGGUGAAAUGCGUAGAUAUUGGGAGGAACACCAGUGGCGAAGGCGGCUCACUGGACCGGUUCUGACGCUGAGGCGCGAAAGCGUGGGGAGCAAACGGG
RNAcentral lists this ribosomal RNA (253 nucleotides) under uncultured bacterium. RNAcentral describes it as "partial 16S ribosomal RNA". It matches the Rfam family "Bacterial small subunit ribosomal RNA", at positions 524 to 776 of the family's 1533-position model. The record is from RNAcentral.